RNAcentral lists this long non-coding RNA (384 nucleotides) under Mus pahari (shrew mouse). Its description in RNAcentral is "lncRNA (MGP_PahariEiJ_G0003302.1)". The record is from RNAcentral. Lineage: Eukaryota; Metazoa; Chordata; Mammalia; Rodentia; Muridae.
CAGGAGUCUGGCAGAUGCGAUCCUAACAGUUCUGUGCUUUUUUCAAGCACACAGGGCUGCAGCUCUAGCAGAUUCUCAGGCAGGCUGUCACUUUAUCAGAAGCACGCCCACGAGGAGAGCAGGGAUCCUAUAAGUAGGGCCAUCAGAAAGAAAGAGUGAGCCAACAGAAGCUGCCUGUGGACAGGGAAGCUGCCACCGGGAAGCAGACAGAAGCCGCCACUUACCCCCAGCCAGAUAUGAUGAUGAUUCCCACCGGGAGCUGAACGCUCUCGCGCUUCUUCAAGAGAAACAAAGAAACUGCUAGAAGGCCUAGAAAGAAGAAAUCAAGAUUAUAAAAGAUGAUUCCUCUUGGCAUGGAAGCUGCAGCACUUCACUCUGUGAGAG